This 532-nucleotide ribosomal RNA is filed under the name Bifidostylus gilesi. RNAcentral's name for it is "partial large subunit ribosomal RNA". It matches the Rfam family "Archaeal large subunit ribosomal RNA", at positions 1895 to 2677 of the family's 2987-position model. The record is from RNAcentral. Lineage: Eukaryota; Metazoa; Arthropoda; Insecta; Hemiptera; Miridae.
UUUUUUCAAAACAUGGUCUUUUGUUUAUAUAAAAGAAUCUGGCCUGCCCAAUGAUAUUAAUUUAAUGGCUGCAGUAUUUUGACUGUACAAAGGUAGCAUAAUCAUUUGUCUUUUAAUUGGAGUCUGGAAUGAAUGGUUAGAUGAAAGGUUUACUUUCUUUAUUUUAAAAAUAAAAUUUAAUUUUUAAAUUAAAAAGUUUAAUUGUUAAUAUAGGACGAGAAGACCCUAUAGAACUUUAUUUAUAAAAUUUCUUUGUUAAUUUGUUAAUUAUAAAUAUAUAUAUAUUUAUAAAUUUUGUUGGGGUGACAAAAAAAAUAUUUUAACUUUUUUUAAUUUAGACAUUUAUUUAUGUUUUUUUGAUCCUUUAUUAUGGAAUAUAAGAUUAAGUUACCUUAGGGAUAACAGCGUUAUUAUUUUGGAGAGUUCCUAUCAAUAAAAUAGUUUGCGACCUCGAUGUUGGAUUAAAAUUAGCUUCAGGAGUAGAAGAUUGAUGGCUAAGUCUGUUCGACUUUUAAAUUUUUACAUGAUCUGA